Long non-coding RNA from Asparagus officinalis (garden asparagus), 340 nucleotides. RefSeq lists it as uncharacterized. NCBI's taxonomy places the organism in Eukaryota, Viridiplantae, Streptophyta, Magnoliopsida, Asparagales, Asparagaceae. The transcript is spliced from 3 exons. The record is from RefSeq and is a predicted model, not a curated record.
AGAUUCAAGCGACAAGUAUUUAAAAAAUAUGAACAGCAGCUAUAUCGCGACUAUAAAAUUGUCCUUUUGCUUCUGGCUCUUGUAGCAGUUCCAUGGAUGCUAUUUCCGAAACCAUUCAUCUUAAGGAGGCUUCACAAAGAGAUUUCAAGGUCGUACUUAUGGCAUGCUGGGUACAUCAGAGAUGGAUCUGGAUGUCGAACCUGAUUCUGCUAGACUUAGGCACCACCACGAGGAUUUCAACUUCAGUGAAAUGUUUGUGCAUAAGAUGAUCCAUUCAAUUGAAUUUGUAUUGGGGGCUGUCUCAAACACUGCAUCCUAUCUUCGACUUUGGGCUCUGAAG